AAGGUCAAUUAAUUAAUUAAGAUUGAUCCUGUCUUUAAUUUAUUUUGAUUAGUUAUUUGGUAAUAUUAAAUAUAAAUUUUCGUGUGAUUUUAGUUUAUCUAAAGGAUAAAUUGUUG
RNAcentral lists this ribosomal RNA (116 nucleotides) under Leptoglossus phyllopus. RNAcentral's name for it is "partial small subunit ribosomal RNA". Lineage: Eukaryota; Metazoa; Arthropoda; Insecta; Hemiptera; Coreidae. The record is from RNAcentral.